CAAGUGAGGCUACCAAACGCUGGAAACAGCGGUUAGGAGCUUACACCCACCCGUGUUUACAUACUAUUGUUGCUUUGGCAGGCCGUGGCCUCCACUGCGGGCUCUGCUCGUGUGUGUCCGCCAGAGGAUCAAACUCUGAAUGUUAGUGAUGUCUGAGUACUAUCUAAUAGUUA
Molecule: unclassified non-coding RNA, 173 nt
Filed under: uncultured Phialocephala
Lineage: Eukaryota; Fungi; Ascomycota; Leotiomycetes; Helotiales
Description: sequence contains ITS1
Source: RNAcentral